GUGGGGAAUAUUGGACAAUGGGGGGAACCCUGAUCCAGCCAUGCCGCGUGUGUGAAGAAGGCCUUUUGGUUGUAAAGCACUUUAAGCGAGGAGGAGGCUACCGAGAUUAAUACUCUUGGAUAGUGGACGUUACUCGCAGAAUAAGCACCGGCUAACUCUGUGCCAGCAGCCGCGGUAAUACAGAGGGUGCAAGCGUUAAUCGGAUUUACUGGGCGUAAAGCGCGCGUAGGUGGCCAAUUAAGUCAAAUGUGAAAUCCCCGAGCUUAACUUGGGAAUUGCAGUCGAUACUGGUUGGCUAGAGUAUGGGAGAGGAUGGUAGAAUUCCAGGUGUAGCGGUGAAAUGCGUAGAGAUCUGGAGGAAUACCGAUGGCGAAGGCAGCCAUCUGGCCUAAUACUGACACUGAGGUGCGAAAGCAUGGGGAGCAAACAGGAUUAGAUACCCGAGUAGUCC
RNAcentral lists this ribosomal RNA (451 nucleotides) under uncultured bacterium. RNAcentral's name for it is "bacterial SSU rRNA". It matches the Rfam family "Bacterial small subunit ribosomal RNA", at positions 354 to 796 of the family's 1533-position model. The record is from RNAcentral.